CCCAUUAUCCGAUUAACUUUGUUCUGCCCUCCACGAUGAUUCCCGGAGCGCUGAUCAUGGAUACAUGUCUGUUGUUAACCCGUAACUGGAUGAUUACAGCACUGUUCGGUGGCGGAGCAUUUGGACUAUUGUUCUACCCGGGUAACUGGCCGAUCUUCGGACCAACUCACCUUCCAUUAGUAGUUGAAGGCGUAUUGCUGUCAUUGGCUGAUUACACUGGAUUCCUUUAUGUUCGUACUGGUACACCUGAGUAUGUUCGGUUAAUUGAACAAGGAUCGCUACGUACCUUCGGUGGUCACACUACGGUAAUUGCUGCAUUCUCUGCGGCUUUUGUAUCAAUGUUAAUGUUCGUUGUCUGGUGGUACCUGGGAAGGUUCUAUUGCACCUCGUUCUAUUACGUCAAAGGUCCUAGAGGACGGAUAACAGAGAAGAAUGAUGUUACCGCUUUUGGC
Molecule: ribosomal RNA, 452 nt
Filed under: uncultured ammonia-oxidizing bacterium
Lineage: Bacteria
Description: partial 16S ribosomal RNA
Source: RNAcentral